RNAcentral lists this ribosomal RNA (255 nucleotides) under Escherichia coli. RNAcentral describes it as "partial 23S ribosomal RNA". It matches the Rfam family "Bacterial large subunit ribosomal RNA", at positions 138 to 431 of the family's 2925-position model. The record is from RNAcentral. Lineage: Bacteria; Pseudomonadati; Pseudomonadota; Gammaproteobacteria; Enterobacterales; Enterobacteriaceae.
AUUCGUCACACUAUUAUUAACUGAAUCCAUAGGUUAAUGAGGCGAACCGGGGGAACUGAAACAUCUAAGUACCCCGAGGAAAAGAAAUCAACCGAGAUUCCCCCAGUAGCGGCGAGCGAACGGGGAGCAGCCCAGAGCCUGAAUCAGUGUGUGUGUUAGUGGAAGCGUCUGGAAAGGCGCGCGAUACAGGGUGACAGCCCCGUACACAAAAAUACACAUACUGUGAGCUCGAUGAGUAGGGCGGGACACGUGGUA